This 824-nucleotide ribosomal RNA is filed under the name uncultured bacterium. Its description in RNAcentral is "bacterial SSU rRNA". It matches the Rfam family "Bacterial small subunit ribosomal RNA", at positions 8 to 808 of the family's 1533-position model. The record is from RNAcentral.
AGAGUUUGAUUCUGGCUCAGGACGAACGCUGGCGGCGUGCCUAACACAUGCAAGUCGAACGGAGAAUUUUAUUUCGGUAGAAUUCUUAGUGGCGAACGGGUGAGUAACGCGUAGGCAACCUGCCCUUUAGACGGGGACAACAUUCCGAAAGGAGUGCUAAUACCGGAUGUGAUCAUCGUGCCGCAUGGCAGGAUGAAGAAAGAUGGCCUCUACAAGUAAGCUAUCGCUAAAGGAUGGGCCUGCGUCUGAUUAGCUAGUUGGUAGUGUAACGGACUACCAAGGCGAUGAUCAGUAGCCGGUCUGAGAGGAUGAACGGCCACAUUGGGACUGAGACACGGCCCAAACUCCUACGGGAGGCAGCAGUGGGGAAUCUUCCGCAAUGGACGAAAGUCUGACGGAGCAACGCCGCGUGAGUGAUGAAGGAUUUCGGUCUGUAAAGCUCUGUUGUUUAUGACGAACGUGCAGUGUGUGAACAAUGCAUUGCAAUGACGGUAGUAAACGAGGAAGCCACGGCUAACUACGUGCCAGCAGCCGCGGUAAUACGUAGGUGGCGAGCGUUGUCCGGAAUUAUUGGGCGUAAAGAGCAUGUAGGCGGCUUAAUAAGUCGAGCGUGAAAAUGCGGGGCUCAACCCCGUAUGGCGCUGGAAACUGUUAGGCUUGAGUGCAGGAGAGGAAAGGGGAAUUCCCAGUGUAGCGGUGAAAUGCGUAGAUAUUGGGAGGAACACCAGUGGCGAAGGCGCCUUUCUGGACUGUGUCUGACGCUGAGAUGCGAAAGCCAGGGUAGCGAACGGGAUUAGAUACCCCGGUAGUCCUGGCCGUAAACG